CCUGUCCUGGUCUAAUUUUGACUAGACCUUAUCUAUCCCCAAUCUACUUCUUCAGUAAACCUAGACUCAUCACGUUCUUCUUCUUAUUUCUCGUUCCUCUUCCUCAAACCCUAGGUUCACUCUGUAAUUCGAAUUUAUUUAUAAUAAGUUAAUGUAUUGAAGAUCAACAAUGGCAUUCUCGUCUCCACUGGGUUUAGGAGCACAACUAAUUGGUGGUAGGCGUCGCCGACGUCCACACAGCAAGAAGAAGGUUGUGAAAGGAAACAACUUAUCUAGUAAUAUUUCUAGGUUUCAAACUCAUGGUCAUAGUCAGAAAAAGAA
Molecule: long non-coding RNA, 321 nt
Organism: Papaver somniferum (opium poppy)
Lineage: Eukaryota; Viridiplantae; Streptophyta; Magnoliopsida; Ranunculales; Papaveraceae
Exons: 2
Source: RefSeq, a predicted model, not a curated record